This 580-nucleotide long non-coding RNA is filed under the name Phoenix dactylifera (date palm). RNAcentral's name for it is "long non-coding RNA (PDAC_LNC021322)". Lineage: Eukaryota; Viridiplantae; Streptophyta; Magnoliopsida; Arecales; Arecaceae. The record is from RNAcentral.
CAAGGUAAUGCUAAGAGUUAACUUACUGAUUAAAUCCUUCCAUUUAAUAAACUAUAAAUAAACUACUGGCUCGCCUUCUCUUCAAUGUCAAGGUUUACGAUAUCCUACCAUAUUUGUCUAUGGUGCAUUGUCUCACUUUGAAGUUAUACCUUUUCUAUUGUAAGGGAACAUAAUGUCAGCAUACAUUGAUUUGCAUAGGCUGAUAAUUUGAUGCAUGACAGCUCAAUACUCUCAACAAUCAUCUAAGGUUCCCCGCGCUGGGCACCACGCCCGGGCGCAGUUCCCCAUGCAACGCGUGCCUGUGGAAUUUUUUAACGCUGCGGGCACGCGCCCGCGCACACUACAUGCUUCGCAAAAUUUUUUCCACAAGCGCACUGCCAGUUCGGUACCGUCAAACCGGUCCGAACAAAAACCAUACCGGUCCGGUAGGCAACCGGUACGUCUACCGAUGCCGGUACGCCAACCAAUACCGGUAUGCCUACCUUGCUCUAAAUAAAGAGGAAUAGUGAAUUUUAUUAUACGAGGAAGCGAAUCUUCAUAAACAAGGCUCGUUCCGUACUUGACUUACGAGCUUGUGUAG